This is a transfer RNA of 127 nucleotides. It matches the Rfam family "tRNA". Rfam says of the family: Transfer RNA (tRNA) molecules are approximately 80 nucleotides in length. Their secondary structure includes four short double-helical elements and three loops (D, anti-codon, and T loops). Further hydrogen bonds mediate the characteristic L-shaped molecular structure. tRNAs have two regions of fundamental functional importance: the anti-codon, which is responsible for specific mRNA codon recognition, and the 3' end, to which the tRNAs corresponding amino acid is attached (by aminoacyl-tRNA synthetases). tRNAs cope with the degeneracy of the genetic code in two manners: having more than one tRNA (with a specific anti-codon) for a particular amino acid; and 'wobble' base-pairing, i.e. permitting non-standard base-pairing at the 3rd anti-codon position. The record is from Rfam.
GGCAAGGUGGCCGAGUGGUUAAGGCGUUUGAUUCGAAUUGGGUGUUGUAAAGGCCGAUGCCGGUCUGGUCAUCAUCCCCGAAUAUCAAAUUCAUUCGUGAGCCGGGGUUCAAAUCCCCGCCUUGUCG